AUUGAACGCUGGCGGCAUGCUUUACACAUGCAAGUCGAACGGCAGCGGGGUAGUGCUUGCACUACUGCCGGCGAGUGGCGAACGGGUGAGUAAUAUAUCGGAACGUACCGAGUAAUGGGGGAUAACCAAUCGAAAGAUUGGCUAAUACCGCAUACGUCCUGAGGGAGAAAGCGGGGGAUCGCAAGACCUCGCGUUAUUCGAGCGGCCGAUAACUGAUUAGCUAGUUGGUGGGGUAAGGGCCUACCAAGGCGACGAUCAGUAGCGGGUCUGAGAGGACGAUCCGCCACACUGGGACUGAGACACGGCCCAGACUCCUACGGGAGGCAGCAGUGGGGAAUUUUGGACAAUGGGGGCAACCCUGAUCCAGCCAUGCCGCGUGUAUGAAGAAGGCCUUCGGGUUGUAAAGUACUUUUGUUAGGGAAGAAAAGGGAAGUGCUAAUACCACUUUUUGCUGACGGUACCUAAAGAAUAAGCACCGGCUAACUACGUG
Molecule: ribosomal RNA, 490 nt
Filed under: uncultured bacterium
Lineage: Bacteria
Description: partial 16S ribosomal RNA
Rfam family: Bacterial small subunit ribosomal RNA
Source: RNAcentral